UACGUAGGUGGCAAGCGUUGUCCGGAUUUACUGGGCGUAAAGAGCGUGUAGGCGGCCAACUAAGUCCUGCGUGAAAUCUCGGGGCUCAACCCCGAGCGGUCGUGGGAAACUGGUUGGCUAGAGUGCGGGAGAGGAGAGUGGAAUUCCUGGUGUAGCGGUGAAAUGCGCAGAUAUCAGGAAGAACACCCGUGGCGAAGGCGGCUCUCUGGAACGCAACUGACGCUGAGACGCGAAAGCGUGGGGAGCAAACAGG
RNAcentral lists this ribosomal RNA (253 nucleotides) under uncultured bacterium. RNAcentral describes it as "partial 16S ribosomal RNA". It matches the Rfam family "Bacterial small subunit ribosomal RNA", at positions 524 to 776 of the family's 1533-position model. The record is from RNAcentral.